This is a long non-coding RNA of Brassica napus (rape), 815 nucleotides long. RefSeq lists it as uncharacterized. NCBI's taxonomy places the organism in Eukaryota, Viridiplantae, Streptophyta, Magnoliopsida, Brassicales, Brassicaceae. The transcript is spliced from 3 exons. The record is from RefSeq and is a predicted model, not a curated record.
GCUAACAAAAAUUUAUAAUAAUCCUUUUCUUUAACAUCAAUUUAAUAAAAUGAUGUUAUUUUAUUUUAAUUUGUUUAAAAUAUUUGAGCUAGUAAAAAAAUUAAUUUAUAUCCAGAACAAAAUUUGUAAAAUUACAAUAUUAUCAUAGAUUAAACACAUAAUUAUUAAAAAGUAGCAAAUGUGAUUUGUUACAGUCCCCCAAAAAUAGGAACCACCAUUACAAGUUCAAAUACAGUAAACCACUUAAACCCAAUGUGAUUACGAGAAGUAGUUAUUAUUCUUUUCUGUGAAGAUCUUCUUAUUCGUCACACUCUCUCAAAUCUCUUUCAUCAGUUUUUUUUUGUUCUCUGUUAUUUGAUUAAAAGCAUUUUCUCAACAUGAAUCAAGUAUUCUUAUAUGAAUCAUGAUGAUUAUGUUUGUGUUUCUGUUUAUAGAAGAUUUGAAAGGAAGAUUUUGCUUUUCAUAAAAAUCUGAUGAAAAAUUCUUGAGAGGGAUCUGAAGGAAAUGAUGAUGAUACAGGAAAUUUCUAGGGUUCUUGGUAUAUUGAAGGUUUCAGCAGCAAUUGGAUUUGAUCAUGUUUCUUUGUUGUCUGCUACUUAGGAGUAACAAGCUCCACGCCAUUUCAUCAUUUUCCAUGGCCAAUUGAAGACAAAAUGAAGAAGAAGAAAAAGAAUUUAUUGAAGAAACUGCUAUGGCCAAUUCUUUUAACUAUAUUAACAAGUUGUUUUCUUUCUUUGAAUUCAUUUUCCAGUCUUAUUUGUGAGGCUUCUCCUUUUCUUCUUCCUUCAAUUUUCACAGGAACAAAAAAUAAGAAA